UGCCCCACAGUUCCCCGCCCGGGAACAAGGAGCUGGUAUCAGGCACACCCUACUGAGCCCAUGACACCUUGCUUAGCCACACCCUCAAGGGAACUCAGCAGUGAUAGACAUUAAGCCAUAAGUGAAAACUUGACUUAGUUAAAGCUAAGAGGGCCGGUAAAACUCGUGCCAGCCACCGCGGUUAUACGAGAGGCCCGAGUUGAUAGACGCCGGCGUAAAGAGUGGUUAAGUUAGAGCCCAAACUAAAGCCAAACAUCUUCAAGACUGUUAUACGUACCCGAAGACAGGAAGUUCAACCACGAAAGUGACUUUAUUUAAUCUGAACCCACGAAAGCUAAGGAACAAACUGGGAUUAGAUACCCCACUAUGCCUAGCCCUAAACAUUGAUAGUACUCUACACCCACUAUCCGCCCGGGAACUACGAGCAAUAGCUUAAAACCCAAAGGACUUGGCGGUGCUUUAGAUCCACCUAGAGGAGCCUGUUCUAGAACCGAUAACCCCCGUUCAACCUCACCCUUCCUUGUUAAUCCCGCCUAUAUACCGCCGUCGUCAGCUUACCCUGUGAAGGCUAAAUAGUAAGCAAAGCUGGUACAACCCAGAACGUCAGGUCGAGGUGUAGCGUAUGGAGGGGGAAGAAAUGGGCUACAUUCGCUACUUACAGCGAACACGAAAGGCGGACUGAAAUGUCCACCCGAAGGAGGAUUUAGCAGUAAGUGU
RNAcentral lists this ribosomal RNA (717 nucleotides) under Marukawichthys ambulator. Its description in RNAcentral is "partial 12S ribosomal RNA". It matches the Rfam family "Bacterial small subunit ribosomal RNA", at positions 327 to 1345 of the family's 1533-position model. The record is from RNAcentral. Lineage: Eukaryota; Metazoa; Chordata; Actinopteri; Perciformes; Ereuniidae.